CACGUAGGGCGCAAACGUUGUCCGGAAUUAUUGGGCGUAAAGAGCUCGUAGGCGGUCUGUUACGUCUGCUGUGAAAACCCGGGGCUUAACCCUGGGCUUGCAGUGGAUACGGGCAGACUAGAGGCAGGUAGGGGAGAAUGGAAUUCCCGGUGUAGCGGUGAAAUGCGCAGAUAUCGGGAGGAACACCGGUGGCGAAGGCGGUUCUCUGGAACGCAACUGACGCUGAGACGCGAAAGCGUGGGGAGCAAACAGG
This 253-nucleotide ribosomal RNA is filed under the name uncultured bacterium. RNAcentral describes it as "partial 16S ribosomal RNA". It matches the Rfam family "Bacterial small subunit ribosomal RNA", at positions 524 to 776 of the family's 1533-position model. The record is from RNAcentral.